GACGAACGCUGGCGGCGUGCUUAACACAUGCAAGUCGAACGGAAAGGCCCUGCUUUUGUGGGGUGCUCGAGUGGCGAACGGGUGAGUAACACGUGAGUAGCCUGCCCUUGACUUCGGGAUAACUUCAGGAAACUGGGGCUAAUACCGGAUAGGAGCUCCUGCUGCAUGGUGGGGGUUGGAAAGUUUCGGCGGUUGGGGAUGGACUCGCGGCUUAUCAGCUUGUUGGUGGGGUAGUGGCUUACCAAGGCUUUGACGGGUAGCCGGCCUGAGAGGGUGACCGGCCACAUUGGGACUGAGAUACGGCCCAGACUCCUACGGGAGGCAGCAGUGGGGAAUAUUGCACAAUGGGCGGAAGCCUGAUGCAGCAACGCCGCGUGCGGGAUGACGGCCUUCGGGUCGUAAACCGCUUUCGCCUGUGACGAAGCGUGAGUGACGGUAAUGGGUAAAGAAGCACCGGCUAACUACGUG
Molecule: ribosomal RNA, 468 nt
Filed under: uncultured bacterium
Lineage: Bacteria
Description: partial 16S ribosomal RNA
Rfam family: Bacterial small subunit ribosomal RNA
Source: RNAcentral